RNAcentral lists this long non-coding RNA (317 nucleotides) under Triticum aestivum (bread wheat). RNAcentral's name for it is "long non-coding RNA (TAES_LNC005730)". The record is from RNAcentral. Lineage: Eukaryota; Viridiplantae; Streptophyta; Magnoliopsida; Poales; Poaceae.
CUGUUUCUCGAGCCUCGCCCCCCUCCCCUGCACCUCGAAUGCGCCGCCUCCUUCCCUCCCUCUCCCCUGCACCUCGAAUGCGCCGCCUCCUUCCCUCCCCUUCGCUUCUUUCUAAGGCGGCGGUGGCCUACAGGCAAAGGGCAACGGCGACGACACUCGAUUUGAUCUGCAUGAGAAAGAGAAGAAGAUAGGGAGAGAGAUAACGGAGGAGAGGAGGGAGAAAGAGAGAGGAAAGAGGAGAUGGAGGUGCCGCGGCGGAUGGGAGAGGGUCACCGGAAGGAGCGCCGCUGGCUCGUCAUCAUCACGCUGGAGGAGAG